ACACGACUACAUUAGAUACCCGGGUAGUCCUAGCCGUAAACGAUACUCGCUAGGUGUCGGCCACGGUGCGACCGUUGUCGGUGCCGUAGGGAAGCCGUGAAGCGAGCCACCGUGGGAAGUACGGCCGCAAGGCUGAAACUUAAAGGAAUUGGCGGGGGAGCACCACAACGGGUGGAGCUUGCGGUUUAAUUGGAUUCAACGCCGGAAAUCUUACCGGGACCGACAGCAACAUGAAGGCCAGGCUGAAGACUUUGCCGGAUUAGCUG
This 266-nucleotide ribosomal RNA is filed under the name uncultured archaeon. Its description in RNAcentral is "partial 16S ribosomal RNA". It matches the Rfam family "Archaeal small subunit ribosomal RNA", at positions 717 to 982 of the family's 1478-position model. The record is from RNAcentral.